Molecule: long non-coding RNA, 436 nt
Organism: Passer domesticus (house sparrow)
Lineage: Eukaryota; Metazoa; Chordata; Aves; Passeriformes; Passeridae
Exons: 3
Source: RefSeq, a predicted model, not a curated record
CUGUGACCUCUCAGGCGAGAAGGCGCUCUGUAUUCUACCGGCAAGUCUCUCUCUGUGCUGCUGACACAGCCCAACAGGUUUCACAUGAGGAGAGGGAAAUGAGAUAAUCUGUCCUUGUGCUGGAAUGAAUGAUAAAUGCUAGUUCCUGCCUCCUGAAAGCAAGCAUUUAGCAGGCAGACAGCCAUUUCAGAGAGCUGCACACUUUGUAACAGCAGCAGCAAAACAGGAAAACAAUACAAAGAAUGAGGCAGCAAUACCUGAGUGCAAACAGAGACACCCAGCAAACACCGGGAAGUGACUGACUGAAAUGUUCACAGGUGCCCAAGGACUCUGUCAGAAAUAUUGAACAUGGUGACACAUGAAGGCACAAAAAGAUGAAGCCAGUGACUAACUUCUCUAUUUUCUCUUGGGACCUGAGGAGAGCAAACACCACUAG